This 466-nucleotide long non-coding RNA is filed under the name Panax ginseng (ginseng). Its description in RNAcentral is "long non-coding RNA (PGIN_LNC003800)". Lineage: Eukaryota; Viridiplantae; Streptophyta; Magnoliopsida; Apiales; Araliaceae. The record is from RNAcentral.
AUAUAUAUAUAUAUAUAUAUAUAUAUAAGAUUAUUAGCAGCCGGUGAUAAAAUGUAUGAGCCAAAGUGUCCAUCGAUUGCGCCGAUUGAAGGAUAUGAGCUAGGGAUUCCAGAUAUUUAGGGAUUCCAGAUAUUUUUUUUAGAAAACAACUGUUGGGAAGGUUAUUCGAUUGAGCUAGGAUUGAAGGUUAUUGUUGUAAAGGACAGUAUAAUUAUGAUGGACAGCUGUUGGAUGUUUAGGAGGACAGAUUGCGCCGAUUGAAGGAUAUGAGCUAGGGAUUCCAGAUAUUUAGGAAUUCUAGAGAUUUUUUUUAGAAAACAACUGUUGGGAAUGUUAUUCGAUUGAGCUAGGAUUGAAGGUUAUUGUUGUAAAGGACAGUAAAAAGUUUUAAUUAUGAUGGACAGAUGUAUGUUCGAUGCUUAGAAGGACAGAUGUCAAAUUUUUAGAAAGACAGAUAUCAAAAUAU